AUUGAAACUUCGGUCGAUUUAAUUUAUUUCUAGUGGCGGACGGGUGAGUAACGCGUGGGUAACCUGCCUUAUACAGGGGGAUAGCAACCAGAAAUGGUUGCUAAUACCGCAUAAGCGCACAGAACCGCAUGGUUCGGUGUGAAAAACUCCGGUGGUAUAAGAUGGACCCGCGUUGGAUUGGCUGGUUGGCAGGGCAGCGGCCUACCAAGGCGACGAUCCAUAGCCGGCCUGAGAGGGUGAACGGCCACAUUGGGACUGAGACACGGCCCAGACUCCUACGGGAGGCAGCAGUGGGGAAUAUUGCACAAUGGGGGAAACCCUGAUGCAGCGACGCCGCGUGAAGGAAGAAGUAUCUCGGUAUGUAAACUUCUAUCAGCAGGGAAGAUAAUGACGGUACCUGACUAAGAAGCCCCGGCUAACUACGUGCCAGCAGCCGCGGUAAUACGUAGGGGGCAAGCGUUAUCCGGAUUUACUGGGUGUAAAGGGAGCGUAGACGGCGCAGCAAGUCUGAUGUGAAAGGCGGGGGCUCAACCCCUGGACUGCAUUGGAAACUGUUAGUCUUGAGUGCCGGAGAGGUAAGCGGAAUUCCUAGUGUAGCGGUGAAAUGCGUAGAUAUUAGGAGGAACACCAGUGGCGA
This 637-nucleotide ribosomal RNA is filed under the name uncultured Lachnospiraceae bacterium. Its description in RNAcentral is "bacterial SSU rRNA". It matches the Rfam family "Bacterial small subunit ribosomal RNA", at positions 66 to 718 of the family's 1533-position model. Lineage: Bacteria; Bacillati; Bacillota; Clostridia; Lachnospirales; Lachnospiraceae. The record is from RNAcentral.